CGGGGGAACUGAAACAUCUAAGUACCCCGAGGAAAAGAAAUCAACCGAGAUUCCCCCAGUAGCGGCGAGCGAACGGGGAGGAGCCCAGAGCCUGAAUCAGUGUGUGUGUUAGUGGAAGCGUCUGGAAAGGCGCGCGAUACAGGGUGACAGCCCCGUACACAAAAAUGCACAUGCUGUGAGCUCGAUGAGUAGGGCGGGACACGUGGUAUCCUGUCUGAAUAUGGGGGGACCAUCCUCCAAGGCUAAAUACUCCUGACUGACCGAUAGUGAACCAGUACCGUGAGGGAAAGGCGAAAAGAACCCCGGCGAGGGGAGUGAAAAAGAACCUGAAACCGUGUACGUACAAGCAGUGGGAGCCUCUUUAUGGGGUGACUGCGUACCUUUUGUAUAAUGGGUCAGCGACUUAUAUUCUGUAGCAAGGUUAACCGAAUAGGGGAGCCGAAGGGAAACCGAGUCUUAACUGGGCGUUAAGUUGCAGGGUAUAGACCCGAAACCCGGUGAUCUAGCCAUGGGCAGGUUGAAGGUUGGGUAACACUAACUGGAGGACCGAACCGACUAAUGUUGAAAAAUUAGCGGAUGACUUGUGGCUGGGGGUGAAAGGCCAAUCAAACCGGGAGAUAGCUGGUUCUCCCCGAAAGCU
This 640-nucleotide ribosomal RNA is filed under the name Escherichia coli. RNAcentral's name for it is "partial 23S ribosomal RNA". It matches the Rfam family "Bacterial large subunit ribosomal RNA", at positions 185 to 867 of the family's 2925-position model. The record is from RNAcentral. Lineage: Bacteria; Pseudomonadati; Pseudomonadota; Gammaproteobacteria; Enterobacterales; Enterobacteriaceae.